ACCUCAUGACAAUGAGCAAAGAGACAUCUUGUUGGUGGUGGUGUUUUUCUAUCAGUCAGGGCAGAGUAGACAGCAGUCUUUUGUUCAUCCUAGCUUGAUGUCUGGCUUGGUGGCCAAAGCUGUUUUAUGCCUAGGACUCAUAA
This is a small nucleolar RNA of Grammomys surdaster, 143 nucleotides long. RefSeq annotates it as small nucleolar RNA SNORA48. The transcript has a single exon. The record is from RefSeq and is a predicted model, not a curated record. Lineage: Eukaryota; Metazoa; Chordata; Mammalia; Rodentia; Muridae.